This is a non-coding RNA of Serratia proteamaculans 568, 45 nucleotides long. The record is from Rfam. NCBI's taxonomy places the organism in Bacteria, Pseudomonadati, Pseudomonadota, Gammaproteobacteria, Enterobacterales, Yersiniaceae.
GAAACGGCCGCAUUAGCGGCCAUUUUUUUAAUUAGAAAUUUAACU